ACUUAGAUAGCUUAAAUUUUAAAGCUUAAUUUUGAAGAAAUUAUUAUAGAUUAUUUUAUCUUCUAAGUA
RNAcentral lists this transfer RNA (69 nucleotides) under Brachymna tenuis. Its description in RNAcentral is "tRNA-Phe". The record is from RNAcentral. Lineage: Eukaryota; Metazoa; Arthropoda; Insecta; Hemiptera; Pentatomidae.